AGCGGAAGAAAUAGGCCCAGAGAGCAACAGUGGCGGGUCUGCAGUCACACAGCCAACUUGCGCUUGUGGCAGUGGCAAGGUUGGUGAGUAUCUGAGUCUUCAGGCCACGGCAUUUUCCGCUCGAGUGGAGCCUGGUAAGUGGCCUCUAUUUCUGGUACAUUCUCUGGGAGCCCCCAGUAUUUUCCAGACAGAGGGCACUGAAGACAGGCUUUGUGCUGAGGAUGGGUCACCUGAGGUCCAGCUGCUCCCCCGUACUCCUCCAGGGAAGGGCUGGGACCCCUUCUCCUGCGGCUGCCCCUAAAAGGACAGAUUGUUGCUUUUGUGGGAUGAGGAGAGACAAUGUGGCAUGGUGGUUAAGCACGUGGACUUGGAGCCAGACGGCCUGGGGCUGAAUCCUGGCUCCGCCUCUCACCAACUGUGACCUUGGGCAAGGAAGCUGGUUCAGUGGGGCUGUCGACCACAGGUACCAACCCUGCCCUCCCCUACAGAGUAUGUGACGUAGGCACAGCCAAUGACUGCAUCCCAGUGCUUCGACCAGUCACAGGGUCAAGGGUGCAGUGGCUCACACCUGUAAUCCCAGCACUUUGGAGUCCCAAGCAGGCAGAUCGCCUGAAGUCGGGAGUUUGAGACCAGCCUGGGUGAAACCCCAUCUCUAAUAAAAGUACAAAAAAUUA
This 674-nucleotide long non-coding RNA is filed under the name Homo sapiens (human). Its description in RNAcentral is "non-protein coding lnc-PLCG2-1:10". Lineage: Eukaryota; Metazoa; Chordata; Mammalia; Primates; Hominidae. The record is from RNAcentral.